GAUGAAGAACGCAGCGAAAUGCGAUACUUGGUGUGAAUUGCAGAAUCCCGUGAACCAUCGAGUCUUUGAACGCAAGUUGCGCCCGAAGCCAUUUGGUUGAGGGCACGUCUGCCUGGGCGUCACAUAUCGUUGCCCGAUGCCUAUUGCACUGUGAUAGGAAAUUCUAGGGCGAAAGAUGGCUUCCCGUGAGCGUUGUUGCCUCGCGGUUGGUUGAAAAUCGAGUCCUUGGUAGGGUGUGCCAUGAUAGAUGGUGGUCGAGUUUGCACGAGACCGAUCAUGUGUGCGCUCCCCAAAAUAGGGGGUGGUGGGGGGGGGGGGGGGGGGUUGACGCUCAUGACGAGACCUCAGGUCAGGCGGGGCUACCCGCUGAGUUUAAGCAUAUCAAUAAGCGGAGGA
RNAcentral lists this unclassified non-coding RNA (396 nucleotides) under soil metagenome. Its description in RNAcentral is "partial contains 5.8S ribosomal RNA, internal transcribed spacer 2, and large subunit ribosomal RNA". The stretch from base 1 to 122 matches the Rfam family "5.8S ribosomal RNA", at positions 35 to 154 of the family's 154-position model. The record is from RNAcentral.